AUUGAACGCUGGCGGCAUGCUUUAUACAUGCAAGUCGAACGGAAACAGGCCUUCGGGUGUUGACGAGUGGCGAACGGGUGCGUAAUGCAAAGGCACGUAUCACCUGCCGGGGGGUCUCGCAGAGCAUGCUGUACCAAUACCGCAUGCGAUCUGAGGUUGAGAGCGGCGGAGCGCGCUGCAAAGUUUGGCUUUGCGCCUUUGGAGUGGCUGAUGUCGGAUUAGCUAGUUGGUGGGGUAAAGGCUUACCAAGGCGACGAUCCGUAGCUGAUCUGAGAGGGUGACCGGCCACACUGGAACUGAGACACGGCCCAGACUCCUACGGGAGGCAGCAGUGGGGAAUUUUGGGCAAUGGGCGAAAGCCUGACGCAGCAAUGCCGCGUGCGUGAUGAAGGCCUUCGGGUUGUAAAACUCUGUUGUCAGGGACGAAACGAUGUCCGCGUAAAUCUGGCGGUAAUGACGGUACCUACAGAGUAAGCACCGGCUAACUACGUG
Molecule: ribosomal RNA, 492 nt
Filed under: uncultured bacterium
Lineage: Bacteria
Description: partial 16S ribosomal RNA
Rfam family: Bacterial small subunit ribosomal RNA
Source: RNAcentral